This 580-nucleotide ribosomal RNA is filed under the name uncultured rumen bacterium. RNAcentral's name for it is "bacterial SSU rRNA". It matches the Rfam family "Bacterial small subunit ribosomal RNA", at positions 202 to 784 of the family's 1533-position model. The record is from RNAcentral.
AAGACUUGUCGCUGAGGGAUGGGGAUGCGUCUGAUUAGGUAGUCGGCGGGGUAACGGCCCACCGAGCCAUCGAUCAGUAGGGGUUCUGAGAGGAAGGUCCCCCACAUUGGUACUGAGACACGGACCAAACUCCUACGGGAGGCAGCAGUGAGGAAUAUUGGUCAAUGGCCGAGAGGCUGAACCAGCCAAGUAGCGUGCAGGAAGACGGCCCUAUGGGUUGUAAACUGCUUUUAUGCGGGGAUAAAGUUGGGCACGCGUGCCCAUUUGCAGGUACCGCAUGAAUAAGGACCGGCUAAUUCCGUGCCAGCAGCCGCGGUAAUACGGAAGGUCCGGGCGUUAUCCGGAUUUAUUGGGUUUAAAGGGAGCGCAGGCCGGAGGUCAAGCGUGACGCGAAAUGUAGCCGCUCAACGGCUGAACUGCGUCGCGAACUGGCUUUCUUGAGUGAGUGCGACGUCAGCGGAAUUCGUGGUGUAGCGGUGAAAUGCUUAGAUAUCACGAAGAACCCCGAUUGCGAAGGCAGCUGGCGAGUCCUCUACUGACGCUAAAGCUCGAAGGUGCGGGUAUCGAACAGGAUUAGAUA